CCUACGGGAGGCUGCAGUGGGGAAUAUUGGACAAUGGGGGGAACCCUGAUCCAGCCAUGCCGCGUGUGUGAAGAAGGCCCUCGGGUUGUAAAGCACUUUCAGUGAGGAAGAACGCCUGGUGGUUAAUACCCAUCAGGAAAGACAUCACUCACAGAAGAAGCACCGGCUAACUCCGUGCCAGCAGCCGCGGUAAUACGGAGGGUGCGAGCGUUAAUCGGAAUUACUGGGCGUAAAGCGCGCGUAGGUGGCUUGAUAAGCCGGUUGUGAAAGCCCCGGGCUCAACCUGGGAACGGCAUCCGGAACUGUCAAGCUAGAGUGCAGGAGGGGAAGGUAGAAUUCCCGGUGUAGCGGUGAAAUGCGUAGAGAUCGGGAGGAAUACCAGUGGCGAAGGCGGCCUUCUGGACUGACACUGACGCUGAGGUGCGAAGGCGUGGGUAGCGAACGGGAUUAGAUACCCUGGUAGUC
Molecule: ribosomal RNA, 465 nt
Filed under: Vreelandella stevensii
Lineage: Bacteria; Pseudomonadati; Pseudomonadota; Gammaproteobacteria; Oceanospirillales; Halomonadaceae
Description: partial 16S ribosomal RNA
Rfam family: Bacterial small subunit ribosomal RNA
Source: RNAcentral